RNAcentral lists this transfer RNA (79 nucleotides) under Streptosporangium saharense. It matches the Rfam family "tRNA". Rfam says of the family: Transfer RNA (tRNA) molecules are approximately 80 nucleotides in length. Lineage: Bacteria; Bacillati; Actinomycetota; Actinomycetes; Streptosporangiales; Streptosporangiaceae. The record is from Rfam by way of RNAcentral.
GCUCUCGUGGUCUAGCGGCCCAGGACAGCCGAGCGCUCUUUGGGACUCGACGGCGUCGGUUCGAAUCCGGCCGGGAGCU